UAUCAGGAAUGAUGUACACACCAGGUGCCC
RNAcentral lists this non-coding RNA (30 nucleotides) under Mus musculus (house mouse). The record is from RNAcentral. Lineage: Eukaryota; Metazoa; Chordata; Mammalia; Rodentia; Muridae.